This 185-nucleotide unclassified non-coding RNA is filed under the name Glomus sp. RNAcentral describes it as "partial contains 5.8S ribosomal RNA and internal transcribed spacer 2". The stretch from base 1 to 65 matches the Rfam family "5.8S ribosomal RNA", at positions 84 to 154 of the family's 154-position model. Lineage: Eukaryota; Fungi; Glomeromycota; Glomeromycetes; Glomerales; Glomeraceae. The record is from RNAcentral.
GUGAAUCAUCGAAUUUUUGAACGCAAAUUGCACUCCCUGCUGAGAGUAUGCCUGUUUCAGGGUCAGCCUAAAAAAAAUCUACAUAGUCGCUGUUUCGCGGUGACAUUCGUCGGUAAUUGGGUCAUCUUACACUUGUGGGGUUGAAGCGGCUUAAAAUUUUCUUUACGAUUCCACGAACGAUUCUU